GCACUAGUGGUGUAGUGGUAACAUACUAGCCUUCCAAGCUGGGGCCAGGGGUUCGAUUCCCUUCUAGUGCA
This 71-nucleotide transfer RNA is filed under the name Penicillium paxilli ATCC 26601. RNAcentral describes it as "tRNA-Gly (TCC) (tRNA-Gly-TCC-1-1)". It matches the Rfam family "tRNA". From Rfam's summary of the family: Transfer RNA (tRNA) molecules are approximately 80 nucleotides in length. Their secondary structure includes four short double-helical elements and three loops (D, anti-codon, and T loops). Further hydrogen bonds mediate the characteristic L-shaped molecular structure. tRNAs have two regions of fundamental functional importance: the anti-codon, which is responsible for specific mRNA codon recognition, and the 3' end, to which the tRNAs corresponding amino acid is attached (by aminoacyl-tRNA synthetases). tRNAs cope with the degeneracy of the genetic code in two manners: having more than one tRNA (with a specific anti-codon) for a particular amino acid; and 'wobble' base-pairing, i.e. permitting non-standard base-pairing at the 3rd anti-codon position. The record is from RNAcentral. Lineage: Eukaryota; Fungi; Ascomycota; Eurotiomycetes; Eurotiales; Aspergillaceae.